UCGAGAAUCUUCGGCAAUGGGCGAAAGCCUGACCGAGCGAUGCCGCGUGCGGGAUGAAGGCCUUCGGGUUGUAAACCGCUGUCGUAGGGGAGAAAGGGUCGUUGAAGAAACGACUUUGAUCUAUCCUAGGAGGAAGUCCGGGCUAACUCUGUGCCAGCAGCCGCGGUAAUACGAAGGGACCAAGCGUUGUUCGGAUUUACUGGGCGUAAAGGGCGCGUAGGCGGCGUGGUAAGUCACUUGUGAAAUCUCCGAGCUUAACUCGGAACGGUCAAGUGAUACUGCUGUGCUAGAGUACAGAAGGGGCAAUCGGAAUUCUUGGUGUAGCGGUGAAAUGCGUAGAUAUCAAGAGGAACACCUGAGGUGAAGACGGGUUGCUGGGCUGAUACUGACGCUGAGGCGCGAAAGCCAGGGGAGCAAA
This 418-nucleotide ribosomal RNA is filed under the name uncultured bacterium. Its description in RNAcentral is "bacterial SSU rRNA". It matches the Rfam family "Bacterial small subunit ribosomal RNA", at positions 355 to 772 of the family's 1533-position model. The record is from RNAcentral.